RNAcentral lists this ribosomal RNA (345 nucleotides) under uncultured bacterium. Its description in RNAcentral is "partial 16S ribosomal RNA". It matches the Rfam family "Bacterial small subunit ribosomal RNA", at positions 338 to 680 of the family's 1533-position model. The record is from RNAcentral.
CCUACGGGGGGCAGCAGUGAGGAAUAUUGGUCAAUGGGCGCGAGCCUGAACCAGCCAAGUAGCGUGAAGGAUGACUGCCCUACGGGUUGUAAACUUCUUUUAUAAAGGAAUAAAGUGAGGCACGUGUGCCUUUUUGUAUGUACUUUAUGAAUAAGGAUCGGCGAACUCCGUGCCAGCAGCCGCGGUAAUACGGAGGAUCCGAGCGUUAUCCGGAUUUAUUGGGUUGAAAGGGAGCGUAGAUGGGUUGUUAAGUCAGUUGUGAAAGUUUGCGGCUCAACCGUCAAAUUGCAAUUGAUACUGGCAGCCUUUCUUACAGUUGCGGUCGGCGGCAUUCGUUGUGUAGCG